GAUGAACGCUGGCGGCGUGCCUAAUACAUGCAAGUCGAGCGAACUGAUUAGAAGCUUGCUUCUAUGACGUUAGCGGCGGACGGGUGAGUAACACGUGGGCAACCUGCCUGUAAGACUGGGAUAACUCCGGGAAACCGGAGCUAAUACCGGAUAACAUUUUYUCUUGCAUAAGAGAAAAUUGAAAGAUGGUUUCGGCUAUCACUUACAGAUGGGCCCGCGGUGCAUUAGCUAGUUGGUGAGGUAACGGCUCACCAAGGCAACGAUGCAUAGCCGACCUGAGAGGGUGAUCGGCCACACUGGGACUGAGACACGGCCCAGACUCCUACGGGAGGCAGCAGUAGGGAAUCUUCCGCAAUGGACGAAAGUCUGACGGAGCAACGCCGCGUGAGUGAUGAAGGCUUUCGGGUCGUAAAACUCUGUUGUUAGGGAAGAACAAGUACAAGAGUAACUGCUUGUACCUU
RNAcentral lists this ribosomal RNA (461 nucleotides) under Priestia flexa. RNAcentral's name for it is "bacterial SSU rRNA". It matches the Rfam family "Bacterial small subunit ribosomal RNA", at positions 28 to 481 of the family's 1533-position model. Lineage: Bacteria; Bacillati; Bacillota; Bacilli; Caryophanales; Bacillaceae. The record is from RNAcentral.